UCGAGCGAACGGACGAGAAGCUUGCUUCUCUGAUGUUAGCGGCGGACGGGUGAGUAACACGUGGAUAACCUACCUAUAAGACUGGGAUAACUUCGGGAAACCGGAGCUAAUACCGGAUAAUAUUUUGAACCGCAUGGUUCAAAAGUGAAAGACGGUCUUGCUGUCACUUAUAGAUGGAUCCGCGCUGCAUUAGCUAGUUGGUAAGGUAACGGCUUACCAAGGCAACGAUGCAUAGCCGACCUGAGAGGGUGAUCGGCCACACUGGAACUGAGACACGGUCCAGACUCCUACGGGAGGCAGCAGUAGGGAAUCUUCCGCAAUGGGCGAAAGCCUGACGGAGCAACGCCGCGUGAGUGAUGAAGGUCUUCGGAUCGUAAAACUCUGUUAUUAGGGAAGAACAUAUGUGUAAGUAACUGUGCACAUCUUGACGGUACCUAAUCAGAAAGCCACGGCUAACUACGUGCCAGCAGCCGCGGUAAUACGUAGGUGGCAAGCGUUAUCCGGAAUUAUUGGGCGUAAAGCGCGCGUAGGCGGUUUUUUAAGUCUGAUGUGAAAGCCCACGGCUCAACCGUGGAGGGUCAUUGGAAACUGGAAAACUUGAGUGCAGAAGAGGAAAGUGGAAUUCCAUGUGUAGCGGUGAAAUGCGCAGAGAUAUGGAGGAACACCAGUGGCGAAGGCGACUUUCUGGUCUGUAA
Molecule: ribosomal RNA, 695 nt
Filed under: uncultured Staphylococcus sp.
Lineage: Bacteria; Bacillati; Bacillota; Bacilli; Caryophanales; Staphylococcaceae
Description: bacterial SSU rRNA
Rfam family: Bacterial small subunit ribosomal RNA
Source: RNAcentral